GAAGUCGGUCAGGCAGCCGCUGGGCAAGAGGUGCAAACCUGGCGCCGAGAGGAAAGUCCGGGCUCCACAGAGCAGGAUGCCGGUUAACGACCGGGCACCGUGAGGUGACGGAAAGUGCAACAGAAAACAAACCGCCGAUGCCUCCGCCCACGCGGAGGCAGGUAAGGGUGAAACGGCGAGGCAAGAGCUCACCGCGGACGUGGUAACACGGACGGCACGGCAAACCCCAUCUGGAGCAAGGCCAAAUAGGGAAGCAUGGGCGUGGCUCGCGCUGCUUCCGGGUAGGCUGCUUGAGCGUGCUGGUAACAGUACGCCUAGAGGAAUGGCUGUCCACGACAGAACCCGGCUUAUCGACCGGCUUCCCCC
This 366-nucleotide RNase P RNA is filed under the name Accumulibacter sp. RNAcentral describes it as "RNase P RNA component class A". It matches the Rfam family "Bacterial RNase P class A". Rfam says of the family: Ribonuclease P (RNase P) is a ubiquitous endoribonuclease, found in archaea, bacteria and eukarya as well as chloroplasts and mitochondria. Its best characterised activity is the generation of mature 5'-ends of tRNAs by cleaving the 5'-leader elements of precursor-tRNAs. Lineage: Bacteria; Pseudomonadati; Pseudomonadota; Betaproteobacteria. The record is from RNAcentral.